RNAcentral lists this long non-coding RNA (671 nucleotides) under Sorghum bicolor (sorghum). Its description in RNAcentral is "long non-coding RNA (SBIC_LNC012730)". Lineage: Eukaryota; Viridiplantae; Streptophyta; Magnoliopsida; Poales; Poaceae. The record is from RNAcentral.
CCUGGGCGCUUGGGCUGGUGCUGGCUGGCCUGCGAGUUGGGCUGGGCCGCGUGCGGGGGCAAGCAGGCCGGGAGGGGUUCAGCUGGCUGCGGGGUUCUUUCCCCUUUCUUCUCUUUUUUUUUUCUAUUUUAUUUUUCAAAGCCCUUUUCAAAUAGAAUUUUGAACACAAUUAACUUCAAUCCAAAAUCUCACAGCACAAAUAAAAAUAUGCCCCAGCAUGAAUGCAAAUUCAUGUUUCUAAACUUAUGAUGAAUUUUAAUUUGCACAAAAUUAUUUAUUUGCUAGAUUCAAAUGCUCACAAAAAUACUUAAAUAAAUCAAUUUAAUUCCUAUAACUUGAAAACCAGAUUUUGGGUGUUACAACAUCUUGAUUUAAUUAUAUGCUGAGUUCCUUUGGAUCCAUGGCUCGAUUAGACAACAUAUGUAUGAGCUGUUUUUCACUCCUAUGAGCUCCACUUAAAUAUUCCAUUAGCUAUAGGUAAGUGACAUUUUGGUAAGGAUCUACAAAUACCACAUAUAGAGAGACUUGAGAGAAUCGUUGCUGGGAACUCUGAGUUUUAUUUUGAAAACUUAUGAAAAACUCUGGAACAUAGGUGAAGUAUAGACAGGAGGAAUAGUGCUUGACUUAAUUAUUUUGUCUUUCAAUUACUUAAGACUUAAGUGCAGGUACUA